Molecule: unclassified non-coding RNA, 314 nt
Filed under: plant metagenome
Description: partial contains 5.8S ribosomal RNA, internal transcribed spacer 2, and large subunit ribosomal RNA
Rfam family: 5.8S ribosomal RNA (bases 1-105)
Source: RNAcentral
GAAAUGCGAUAAUUAAUGUGAAUUGCAGAAUUCAGUGAAUCAUCGAGUCUUUGAACACACAUUGCGCCCCCUGGUAUUCCGGGGGGCAUGCCUAUCCGAGCGUCAUUGCUGCCCUCAAGCACGGCUUGUGUGUUGGGCUUCCGUCCCUGGCAACGGGGACGGGCCCAAAAGGCAGUGGCGGCACCAUGUCUGGUCCUCGAGCGUAUGGGGCUUUGUCACCCGCUCCCGUAGGUCCAGCUGGCAGCUAGCCUCGCAACCAAUCUUUUUAACCAGGUUGACCUCGGAUCAGGUAGGGAUACCCGCUGAACUUAAGC